AAAUUAUCUGUAGAUAUGCUAUUAUUACUGAUGGUGUUUCUAAUUCUCUUUAUCCAGAUCACACCAAUUUAAGGAAAAAGGCAUAGAGCAUCAGAUAAGAGCGAUGGUUGUGAUCAUGUGACCUUGAACACUUUUUGGGCAGCGAGAGAGCAGAAAGAAGAAGCAGAAAGAGUAAAGAGAAAUCAUCUUUCACAAGAAGAACUAAAGAAAGGAAGGAAGGAAGGAAGGAAGGAAGAAAGAAAGAAAGAAAGAAAGAAAGAAAGAAAGAAAGAAAGGAAGGAAGGAAGAAAGAAAGCAAGAGGGUUCUUUUCAGUGGAACUUCAGGAGCAAUAUCUUCUACCUCCAGACUCCCUUGUAGGUGCUUGAAGGAGUUGAGAAAGAUUUUCAGUGGAUAUACUUUCAGCCAUUAUCUGUGAGUUCAGCCCUGAGUCUUGAUCUAGGCUGUACAGAGCUUUGUAUCCUCAGGUUUGUAGUCCCCUUUCUUCAAUUUCCCUGGAGAGUGAGUGUCAAGUCUCUGGCUGCCUGAGGUACUUUCUGAUGGAUGGAGUUGUGUGUGUGUGGGGCAGGAGGCAGAGCAGCACUUGUGACAUAAACUUUCAACUUAC
RNAcentral lists this long non-coding RNA (605 nucleotides) under Mus spicilegus (steppe mouse). RNAcentral describes it as "lncRNA (ENSMSIG00000003386.1)". The record is from RNAcentral. Lineage: Eukaryota; Metazoa; Chordata; Mammalia; Rodentia; Muridae.